Doryrhamphus excisus (bluestripe pipefish) is the source of this 3498-nucleotide non-coding RNA. NCBI's taxonomy places the organism in Eukaryota, Metazoa, Chordata, Actinopteri, Syngnathiformes, Syngnathidae. The record is from RefSeq and is a predicted model, not a curated record.
AUACUGAAAUGCUAUGGCUUUUUAACGUAAUCUGAAACAUUUAAGUGUGACAAAAAUGCACACUCUACCACAGUGAAUUGGGAGGGAAGCUUAAUAUCAGCUGAGUGAUGUCACAUGAUAUCAACAUAUUGACGUUUGUGACACAUACAAUUAACGGACUACCUUUGCUCGCGAUUAACGUAAUGAGCACGCCUGGCUUAAACAGUCAAGUCCACCCUUCCCCUUAAGUCACGAUGCUAUGUGUCUACAUGUUAGCAUUACUAGUAUUGGAACAGUCUUAUGGGAUGAGGACAGUGAUCUUCACAUGUGUGACACAGCUAGAGUUUGGAACUCGUGCCAUCUUGACUGAUUUAUGGUCUCCAAGUUAAAUGAUAAAUUAUGACAUCCACUGGGGACACUUUUGUUCACAUUUAAGUUUAACAUGUUGGCUUUGUUUUAAGAUGAUGUUUGGUCAUUUUUAAUAGUUUGCAAUUUUCUCAAACAAGUUUAGUAUUGGCCCCACAAAGGAGUCCAAAGUCUGUAAUAUGAUAUGUAGCUAGAUGGGUGGAGGCCAGAACCUUAACUUUUUCUCCUGUUGCAAAAGGACAUGAAGAUUCUAACAAUUGGUCCACAUUUGUGCUACUUGAAUAGCGACUGACACCACGGAUCACUAUAGUCCAUACGAAAUAUCAAUGACGAAGAUGCUAAACUUCUUAAACGUCUUCUUGUCCAUCAAGACAUCAUAUUAUUUAAGGAACGGAUCAGUACUCACUGUCCUGGGCCUCAGCGGUCCUAACAAGCAGAAAGCCAAGGAGAACUGAUACUAAGAACAUUCUCACAGCAACAGCGUCCAUGACUCUUCUAGUUGUCACAUCAGGUCUGUCUCAGUGGAUGUGUUUUCUACUUAUCUGCUCGGCUUUAUGAGCGUGAUGGACUUUUCCCCGCCAUAAAUGCAUAACAUGCCCACGUCUGUUUGCCCAAAGCCAUAUAAGCCUCAAGGCACUUUAACAGGAGCACAUAUGUUUUACACACAGUUACUUAUCAAAGUUGCAAUUAACUUGUCUUUAAUGGGCCUGUCUUGGACAGUCUUGACUCGUGACAACAACAUCAGGUAGUGCGUUUACAUGAUAUUGAUAUACAUUAUAAAUGAUGUUAUGCAGUGUGGUGAAACACAAACCCCAAAAGGUGUGAUCAAACACAUUGUCACCACUCUUACCUCUCAUGAGAAUCUUUUGAUCAUGUGACUCUACCUGACAUGGUGUGCUGAGAGAGGAGGGCUGACGGCACCAACAACUGAGGCACUGAUGACAUCACGGCCAUGAUGAUGGUUACCUGAACACAGAGGCUCUUGACUGGAGAGACUCCAAGACGUCCACUCUUGUAGUGUUCAGGGAUGAUUCCGAUGCGCAGUGAGCAGCUGAUGAGUGUUUCAUCUGGACAGUUCACGUCGAUGCCGCCAUCAUUCUGCGUGUGGGAGACCAAGCCGUGCACAAUCUCGCUGAACAUGCCAUCGCCGCCAACGCACACCACACUGAGGGCGGCUGUUAGCUGCUCUCUGAUGACGCUGACCCAGUGAUGACACAGCGCCACCUCUGGACACGUGAAGGUGACCUCGGCACACCGCCAGCGGUGCUGACGACACCUCUCCACGUAAAACACUUCAACACAACACAAUAACAAUGUUAAAAUGAUAAAAUACAUUAACUGCUGUGUUUAUUUAACUACAAGAGGUAGUAAUUGGAGAGAUGUUAUUUCCUUACUGUGAAAACUCAAUCUUAAAAUAUUUUGAAGUUAGCUGUUUUUGACCACAUGUUCAUUUAUGAACACAUUUUAUAUAUUGCAAAACACUGCAGCAACAGAACCAAUGUUGUAAUAGUGUAAGAAGCAAACUGCUGAACCAGCAUUAAUAUCACUGAUGACUGUAAACAACAACGUCAGAUACUGACCACUUCAAAUACUUCAUAUCAAUCUAGAGUCGCAACUGUUGUUAACGUCAAUGUUUUUGACACAGUGCUAAUGAGAAACACCCAGUGACUAUAGGACACCAGUUAUGGUUAAUUCAAAAGUGUUCUUAUUUGGAACAUUUACAUUAAUUUUCAAUGUGGUCAAUAUGAAGAAAAGUUGUCUUUAUUCCUAUCUACAAGGUGUUAUUCCUGUGUAUUGAUGUAUUUGUACAUUGUAUUUCCAUUCAUGUAUUUGUGUAUCACCUGUGAAAGACCGCCUGCAGUCUUUCAUCUUCUUCCAGCUGCCAUCUUCUUUGCUGCUCUCCUCCACUUCUUCUCGAAUGCUGAUAAUCUCUGAUACACGCACGCUGUGACACACACCUGCUCACACACACAGGCACACAAUCAUAUCGCAUUUUAAAAUCCAACAUUGAAGUGGUACAUGAACGCACCAAUACACAGCACGUUGACUCCACAUUCACAAAUCUAUUGAAUUAUAUUGUAAUGCCGUGUACUAAGCUGUAUAUAUAAUAUAUUUAAUGCAGUGAUUAUGUUAACUUGAAUGUAUCUGCCUUCCUCUGAUUAGAUUGCACAACACAGAAAAUGAAUGAAUGGAUUGUCGUUUUCCUCGAAUCGACUCAGAAAAAACAACUUCCUCAGUUUCCAUUUAAAAAGUCAGCACACGCCAUCAACUGUUACAUAAUCAUAAUUACACACUAACACAGGGAAGACAAUGCGCGCACACACACGGCUGGAUGUCACUUGAUAAGAAUUCCAAAAUGUCCUGUUGAGAUUUUUGGGGACACAUCGGCGCAUGUUGUUGUCGUAUUAGAAGAUACAACAAAUCAAUAUACAGAGCACAACAACAGCUUGUUGAGGUAUUUCAGAUGUGAAGUACGCUAUUUGUAUUUACUUUUGAUAGGACUCAUUUGGAACACAACCCAGAGAAAAAACAUUGUACACAUGAUUUGGUCUGCAGGCGAGAGGAGGCCCAGCAGAAGAUCUCCUACCUUGUUCUGGGCCAUGACAGAACCAAGGAACAUAAAACCCUGCAGGGCAAACGCCACCAUACACACGCAACAGGCACCAUGGAAUGUAACUCAAGAGUUCAAUCAGUAGCUAAGAAGAAGGCAACACAUUAAAGAUUCAUUAACAUAAUUAACGUAAUGUGAUACACAGCUGGACUGAGGGAAGUUGAAACAAUGACCAGAGCCGACAUGUUUCAAGCUCAAUUAUCUACUAAGCCUUUAUUUUGAAAUCAAUGACACACUUCCAUGUCAACAUGUCACAAGAAGAUUACAUGUGUCUUCAAUCUAGAAUGAUUAACCACACAACACAACUUUUUGUUACUUUAGGUACAAGUUUUAACCUCAAAUGGCCUUUUGUGGUUGUAGAACUAAUGUAUUGUAUUCUGCAUUGUUUUCGUUAUUGUCAAACAUUGUAACAAAACAUAUAAACAAACGAACACUAUUUAGCCAUUAGUCAAUCACCUUCUUUUCUGUUAUGUUUAUUGUCCAUUUUAAUGAAAAAUAGCUGAUGUCGAUGUCAGGAGCCCACCGGAUGUUGCUAGUUACGU